AAUAUACUGACAGCAGGGCGCAAACAAACGUAAAUUAACACCACCACCCUGAGCCAAAAAUUUAGCCAACCACCCCAAUCAAUUCAAAGAUAAACUAAAGCAUCUAACAAAUUUAGUAACGGCGAUUGAAAAAUUUACUAGAGCUACAAAUAUGUACCGCAAGGGAAAAAUGAAAUAACAAUGAAAAACCUUAAGCACAAAAAAGUAGAGCCUCAACCUCGUACCUUUUGCAUCAUGAUUUAACUAGUCAUUAAUAGGCAAAAAGACUUUCAGUCUAUCCCCCCGAAACCAAGUGAGCUACUUAGGGGCAGCUUAAUGAGCCCAUCCGUCUCUGUUGCAAAAGAGUGGAGAGACCCCACAGUAGCGGUGACAUACCUAACGAACCUGGUGAUAGCUGGUUGCCCAGAAAAAGAACAUUAGUUCCGCCCAAAGUUUUCGCAACCUAUGAAGUAACCACAAGACUUUGGAGUAACUCAAAUAGGGUACAGCCUAUUUGAAACAGGAUACAACCUAGAUUAACGGGUAAUUACGAACAUACAAACAACCCAGUAGGCCUAAAAGCAGCCACCAUAAAAAGCGUCAAAGCUUACUAACAUAACAAAAAUCCCACAAACAAUGCCGAACCCUUUCCCCACUACUGAGCGCUUCUAUACCAAUAUUGAACCUUUAAUGUUAAAACUAGUAACAAGAAACAAAUUUUCUCCUAAUGUAAACUUAAGCCAGACAGAACCCCACACUGACACUUAACGACUUUAAAGCCACAGUAACAACACCCAAGAAAAAUCUACUUCUUUUCCCGUCAAACUAACACAAGAACAUUAACAGAAAGAUUAAAAGAAGAAGAAGGAACUCGGCAAAUACAGAUCUCGCCUGUUUACCAAAAACAUCGCCUCUUGUAAUCAAUAAGAGGUCCAGCCUGCCCAGUGAUUUAUUCAACGGCCGCGGUAUCCUAACCGUGCAAAGGUAGCACAAUCACUUGUUUUCUAAAUAAAGACUAGUAUGAACGGCAUCACGAAAAUCUAACUGUCUCCUCCUUCUAAUCAGUGAAACUAAUCCCCCCGUGAAGAAGCGGGAAUACCCCUAUAAGACGAGAAGACCCUAUGGAACUUUAAAUAAAUAGCACACAACCCCCUCUUCCCAAGUUUCUAAACUUUAUCCCCCUCUUACCCGCUGUCUAUUAACUUUUCGGUUGGGGCGACCUUGGAGAACAACCCACCCUCCAAAUUGAGAAACAAAAACUUACAAUUUUAUGUAUCAACACAUUGACACCUAUUGACCCAGUAACCUGAUCAAUGAACCAAGCUACCCUAGGGAUAACAGCGCAAUCUUCUCCGAGAGCCCGUAUCAACGAGCAGGUUUACGACCUCGAUGUUGGAUCAGGGUAACCCAGUGGUGCAGUAGCUAUUAAA
This 1409-nucleotide ribosomal RNA is filed under the name Heyerus bilineatus (two-lined robber frog). Its description in RNAcentral is "partial 16S large subunit ribosomal RNA". It matches the Rfam family "Bacterial large subunit ribosomal RNA", at positions 161 to 2569 of the family's 2925-position model. The record is from RNAcentral. Lineage: Eukaryota; Metazoa; Chordata; Amphibia; Anura; Craugastoridae.